This 440-nucleotide ribosomal RNA is filed under the name uncultured bacterium. RNAcentral's name for it is "partial 16S ribosomal RNA". It matches the Rfam family "Bacterial small subunit ribosomal RNA", at positions 339 to 795 of the family's 1533-position model. The record is from RNAcentral.
CUACGGGUGGCAGCAGUGGGGGAUAUUGCACAAUGGGGGGAACCCUGAUGCAGCGACGCCGCGUGGGUGAAGGAGUGCUUCGGCAUGUAAAGCCCUAUCGGCAGGGAAGAAGCAAGACGGUACCUGACUAAGAAGCCCCGGCUAACUACGUGCCAGCAGCCGCGGUAAUACGUAGGGGGCGAGCGUUAUCCGGAUUCACUGGGUGUAAAGGGAGCGUAGACGGCAAUGCAAGCCAGGAGUGAAAGCCCGGGGCCCAACCCCGGGACUGCUCUUGGAACUGCAUGGCUGGAGUACAGGAGGGGCAGGCGGAAUUCCUAGUGUAGCGGUGAAAUGCGUAGAUAUUAGGAGGAACACCGGUGGCGAAGGCGGCCUGCUGGACUGUGACUGACGUUGAGGCCCGAAGGCGUGGGGAGCAAACAGGAUUAGAUACCCUGGUAGUC